AGAGUUGAUUAUGGCUCAGGAUGAACGCUAGCUACAGGCUUAACACAUGCAAGUCGCGGGGCAGCACUGGGAUUGCUUGCAAUCCCGUGGUGGCGACCGGCGCACGGGUGAGUAACGCGUAUCCAACCUGCCCUGCAGUGGGGAACAGCCCGGCGAAAGUCGGAUUAAUGCCCCAUGGCGUCCUCGGCGGGCAUCUAAUGAGGACUAAAGGCUUCGGCCGCUGCGGGAUGGGGAUGCGUAGGAUUAGGCAGGCGGCGGGCGACGGCCCACGCGCCGACGAUCCUUAGGGGUUCUGAGAGGAAGGUCCCCCACACUGGUACUGAGACACGGACCAGACUCCUACGGGAGGCAGCAGUGAGGAAUAUUGGUCAAUGGGCGCGAGCCUGAACCAGCCAAGUAGCCGUGCAGGAAGACGGCCCUACGGGUUGUAAACUGCUUUUAUGCGGGGAUAAAGUGGGCUACGCGUAGCCCUUUGCAGGUACCGCACGAAUAAGGACCGGCUAAUUCCGUGCCAGCAGCCGC
This 522-nucleotide ribosomal RNA is filed under the name uncultured bacterium. RNAcentral's name for it is "bacterial SSU rRNA". It matches the Rfam family "Bacterial small subunit ribosomal RNA", at positions 8 to 518 of the family's 1533-position model. The record is from RNAcentral.